AUAUGUUCUGUAAAUUAAGACAAAUGUAAAAUAAAAAAAGACUUGUUUUACACUGAUAUUAAGUAAGAUGGUUUUUCUUGUUGUUUUUAUUGUUUAGGUACAAAGCAGCAGACGGCCCAGUUAAUGAAGCUCAGGGCUGAGAACCACCACCUUUUUACUGGAGCUAAAAACUCAGCCAUCGUGGCUUGGAGGACAAUUCUGGAGAAGAUGGACCAACAGGUGAAGGUCAGCCCCUUGCAGGACAAAAAAAAGUGGGACAAUAUGAAAAAGAAAUAUAAAGUUUGUUCAGAAGUUCUCAUGUCACACACAAAUAAAAAAUAUUUCUAAAAGU
Long non-coding RNA from Girardinichthys multiradiatus, 331 nucleotides. RefSeq lists it as uncharacterized. The record is from RefSeq and is a predicted model, not a curated record. The transcript is spliced from 2 exons. Lineage: Eukaryota; Metazoa; Chordata; Actinopteri; Cyprinodontiformes; Goodeidae.